UGUGACGCGUUCUGUGGUCCCCCUUUUCCCUUCCUGGCACUAAAGGCGUCAGAGCGCAGGGUCGCGGGAUUAGUUCCGCCGUAAUGUGACAGUGCGCAGGCGCCGCAAGGAGGCUACACGAAUUUGGCGGAAGAGGCGUCCCUGAGGUGUGGGAGCAGGGACGGGGCGAUCAACGGCAAGAACCCGUGCCUGCACCACCGCGAACGGCUAGGGUAGCGAUGACUUGCAGCUACAAAGUGGACGCUGCACCUGGUUUAAACGUCCUGUGGCUGAGCCCCCAAUCACCCCCCAUAACCCCAUAUCCCUUGGGGUGUGUGGGAGAGCGAGGAAAACCAAGGGGCAAUGACAAUGAACUUGAAGAUGGAGGAGCAUAAAACCCUCAAGACUCUGCCUUUUAGCUCCCGGUCUAGUGGGAAAGACUGGCAUAAAUACUAACAAAAAUGUAAGUCACUGGACUAUUAACAUAAAUGUAAGACUUGCCUAUGAAA
This is a long non-coding RNA of Phacochoerus africanus (Common warthog), 488 nucleotides long. RefSeq lists it as uncharacterized. The record is from RefSeq and is a predicted model, not a curated record. The transcript has 2 exons. NCBI's taxonomy places the organism in Eukaryota, Metazoa, Chordata, Mammalia, Artiodactyla, Suidae.